UUUUUUUUUUUUUUUUUUUUUUUUUUUUUUUUUUUUUUUUUUU
This 43-nucleotide non-coding RNA is filed under the name Alexandrium minutum. The record is from RNAcentral. Lineage: Eukaryota; Dinophyceae; Gonyaulacales; Pyrocystaceae.